UACGGGGGGAGCAAGCGUUGUUCGGAUUUACUGGGCGUAAAGGGCGCGUAGGCGGUCGUGACAAGUCACUUGUGAAAUCUCCGGGCUUAACUCGGAACGGUCAAGUGAUACUGUCGGACUAGAGUACAGAAGGGGCAACUGGAAUUCUCGGUGUAGCGGUGAAAUGCGUAGAUAUCGAGAGGAACGCCUGCGGCGAAGGCGGGUUGCUGGGCUGAUACUGACGCUGAGGCGCGAAAGCCAGGGGAGCGAACGGG
RNAcentral lists this ribosomal RNA (254 nucleotides) under uncultured bacterium. RNAcentral's name for it is "partial 16S ribosomal RNA". It matches the Rfam family "Bacterial small subunit ribosomal RNA", at positions 524 to 776 of the family's 1533-position model. The record is from RNAcentral.